Molecule: small RNA, 127 nt
Filed under: Salmonella enterica
Lineage: Bacteria; Pseudomonadati; Pseudomonadota; Gammaproteobacteria; Enterobacterales; Enterobacteriaceae
Also listed under: 6 other names
Description: RtT sRNA
Rfam family: RtT RNA
About the family: This family represents a bacterial cis-regulatory element known as RtT RNA. The exact function of RtT is unknown although it is thought that it may be involved in changing the cellular response in relation to amino acid starvation.
Source: RNAcentral
UAUCUCUCUGUACAGGGAAGGAUGAGAAUCUUCGAUUAAGGUUCGACUCGAGCGGAAGCGAGAGAACGUUGCCAACGGCAACGGCCCGAAGGGCGCGACGCGCCGAGUCAUCCUUCCCCUACCAUAA